This 412-nucleotide ribosomal RNA is filed under the name uncultured prokaryote. RNAcentral describes it as "bacterial SSU rRNA". It matches the Rfam family "Bacterial small subunit ribosomal RNA", at positions 505 to 918 of the family's 1533-position model. The record is from RNAcentral.
GUGUCAGCAGCCGCGGUAAUACGUAGGGGGCAAGCGUUAUCCGGAAUCACUGGGCGUAAAGGGUGCGUAGGCGGUCGACAAAGUCUGGGGUGAAAGGCUACGGCUCAACCGUAGUAAGCCUUGGAAACUUGUUGACUUGAGUGCAGGAGAGGUAAGUGGAAUUCCUAGUGUAGCGGUGAAAUGCGUAGAUAUUAGGAGGAACACCAGUGGCGAAGGCGACUUACUGGACUGUAACUGACGCUGAGGCACGAAAGCGUGGGGAGCAAACAGGAUUAGAUACCCUGGUAGUCCACGCUGUAAACGAUGAGUGCUAGGUGUCGGAGCCGACAGGCUUCGGUGCCGCAGCUAACGCAUUAAGCACUCCGCCUGGGGAGUACGCUCGCAAGAGUGAAACUUAAAUGAAUUGACGGGG